CCGGCGCACGGGUGGGUAACACGUAUGCAAUCCACCUGUAACAGGGGGAUAACCCGGAGAAAUCCGGACUAAUACCCCAUAAUAUGGGCGCUCCGCAUGGAGAGCCCAUUAAAGAGAGCAAUUUUGGUUACAGACGAGCAUGCGCUCCAUUAGCCAGUUGGCGGGGUAACGGCCCACCAAAGCGACGAUGGAUAGGGGUUCUGAGAGGAAGGUCCCCCACAUUGGAACUGAGACACGGUCCAA
RNAcentral lists this ribosomal RNA (243 nucleotides) under uncultured bacterium. RNAcentral describes it as "partial 16S ribosomal RNA". It matches the Rfam family "Bacterial small subunit ribosomal RNA", at positions 95 to 334 of the family's 1533-position model. The record is from RNAcentral.